RNAcentral lists this ribosomal RNA (286 nucleotides) under uncultured bacterium. RNAcentral describes it as "partial 16S ribosomal RNA". It matches the Rfam family "Bacterial small subunit ribosomal RNA", at positions 1223 to 1509 of the family's 1533-position model. The record is from RNAcentral.
UCAUACAAUGGUCGGACAAGAGGGUAGCCAAGCCGCGAGUGGAGCCAAUCUCACAAAACCGAUCGUAGUCCGGAUUGCACUCUGCAACUCGAGUGCGUGAAGUCGGAAUCGCUAGUAAUCGCAGGUCAGCAUACUGCGGUGAAUACGUUCCCGGGUCUUGUACACACCGCCCGUCACACCAUGGGAGUGGGGGAUACCAGAAGUAGGUAGGGUAACCGCAAGGAGCCCGCUUACCACGGUAUGCUUCAUGACUGGGGUGAAGUCGUAACAAGGUAGCCGUAGGGAA